RNAcentral lists this ribosomal RNA (229 nucleotides) under uncultured bacterium. RNAcentral describes it as "partial 16S ribosomal RNA". It matches the Rfam family "Bacterial small subunit ribosomal RNA", at positions 568 to 796 of the family's 1533-position model. The record is from RNAcentral.
UGCGUAGGCGGCUUGGAAAGUUGGAUGUGAAAUCCCUCGGCUCAACCGAGGAAUUGCGCUCAAUACUGCCAAGCUAGAGGGAGACAGAGGUAAGCGGAACUUAGGGUGGAGCGGUGAAAUGCGUUGAUAUCCUAAGGAACACCAGUGGCGAAGGCGGCUUACUGGGUCUCUUCUGACGCUGAGGCACGAAAGCUGGGGGAGCGAACAGGAUUAGAUACCCUGGUAGUCC